Molecule: long non-coding RNA, 4412 nt
Organism: Cephus cinctus (wheat stem sawfly)
Lineage: Eukaryota; Metazoa; Arthropoda; Insecta; Hymenoptera; Cephidae
Exons: 5
Source: RefSeq, a predicted model, not a curated record
AUGGUGUACAUAUACAUAUAUAAUAAAUUGUACAUAUCCACUCUUAUACUCGCCAGCAAAAUUUGGUACGAUAAUUAGUAAAGUUCAUUCCUUAGUCAUGUUACGUUAAUUGAUAUUUAUCGUAGAAUAUUCAAGCGAGUGAUUACGCGUAAACGAAUUUGUGAUCGAGGAGCGAUAGCCAGUGACGCAGCUAAUGGCAACGGGAGCUUCUCCACCUCCUGUCCUCUUUAUGAAAUUUUGCGAUUCAAUUUAUGGUCACUCGUCGAUAAGCGGAUUUGAAUUUAUAUCUAACCUACAUGACCGUUCGGCGGGUUACAUUCGUGCUCUAUGCAAACAUCCAGUGGCACACGUGCAUAGCUUCACUCCCCUCGUGUGCUACUUGGACGUCCUGUACAUAAAAACACGUCAUCCUUUCACUUCCGGAUAACACAAUCUAUCAUCAGCACUUUCCUGGAUGGACGUACUUGUGGACGUAGGAAAAAUUGCGAACGAGUAUCGAAUUUGACGGACGUCAAGAAAGACUUUUCCACGCGUGUUUACGAUAAUGGAGGCUCGUGUUACGACCACGAAUUCAAUGCGGAUUAAUCUCCGUGAGCGUUACGCGCUCUCGUUGAGCAGGACAAUUACAUUGGUAUUCAUAACCCUCGAUGUCGGUCCCCAGGUGAUCAGUGUCCCUGGUCAGGAUUAAGGACAGUACUGGGACUAGGAACAUGCGGAAUAGGAUAAUCCAGUGUAUACGCUACCAGCCAUGGAUUUUUGAUCUCUGAAAUUGGACAAAUAAUGGAAGAAGGAAAAUCGUGUAGAAGAAAAACUGCAGACUCCUAUUAUGGUUACUGGGUUGUAGCUCAAAAUAAUAGCUGCUAUAAAUAACGUAACGACCUUUGCUCUGGGAGGAACAUGGAGGAAAGAAAAAAAAAAGAUGCUAUCUCGUGAAAUGAAUUUCGACUCCAGGAAUAAAUCGUCCCGUGUAAUUACCGCGUGGUUAAUGGCCACUUGUUCGCUCAGUGGAAACUGGGUAUUGCGGAUUUCAAGAUACACUUGAGAAUUCAGUCGAUUCAUCUGACAGAAUUUAAGGGUGGGACAUUGCGUCAGAAUUCACUGCAGAAUUCCAGAGCGAUGCGCACGCAGCUACAGUCACAAUCAUAAUGACAAUCACAGUGUAAGUCCAUUGUAAGGUUAAUAUAGAAGUAAUGGCUGGGUAUAAUAAAGAAGACCUUAUGGAACGGGCAAUAAAGGCAGUCCGCAAAGUCCGACCGCAUUCGCGAAACUCCUAUGAAUUUAUCCACGCGAUACGUUUCUCCUGUAUGCAUAUAAGUUACGUUUGUACCAAGUCGCACCAGGUUGCGUUGCGGUAGAAAAUCUAUGACGCUUAAAAUCCUGCGGAAAGCCAAACGAAGGAAAAACCAAAGUUAAGUGAUUUUAGAAAAAAAUGCCUAAGGUAACGUAAAAUUUCAAUUACGGUAAAAACAAUUGUAUAACCUAACAAAAAUAUUAUUAAAAGAUCGAUACGUGGAAUAAUUGAACGUGGAUUUAAGUAAUUGAAUCGUAAUGCAUGAAUGGUAAUGGUGAUGGGAAAACAGUACCAAUAAAUUCUACAGGGUGUGGUAUGAAAUUUGAUUAUCACGAUCUUGUACAUAAUUCAAUUUAUCUCUCGAAAUUACAAACGGAUCUCUAUACAGAGUUUCGGAUUCGAGACUCGGUCAUUAUCUUUUUUUAAUUAACUUAGGAUUUAACAAAUAUAAAAUUAUAUUGUACUAUGUACAUUUUAUUAUAUUACAUGUAUACGAUAAAUACAUAAUUCAGCGAGCUUCAACGCUUCUUCCCACGAGCCUCUGAGAGACAAACCGGGCAGAUGAACAUUAACACAAAUAAGAAACGAGGAUUUGCAUGGGAAACGCACUGGCCUGUGCGCCCUUGCAGCAGUCGGGUAUAACAACGGUACGACAGUGACUCGCGCACCCGUGUGCUAGGGAGACGAUUACGCGAGGCGUAGAAUGAACGACGCGAAACCGAAAGAAGAAAAAGAAGAAACUGAGAGACCGAUGAUGCUCUGUUUGUCACCGGAUUAGCUAUCCUCGGACCCGUAGCGACCAUGAAAGCGUAGGAUGACGCGUGAGAGUACGUCGAACAGAAAAGAUCAGUUGAUCCCGUGAAUUGAAAGUUACAUCGGUUCCACUAACAAACUCACGAUCUUCAAUUGUUUUGACGAUCCCGAUUAAAUAGAUCCUGGCAUCUGGCUACGUUAGGAUGGCUGCAACGGCUCCGUGCUGCUUCUGCGAUCCCUGUAUGCUCGCCGAUCCUGAAGACGCUCGCCGCUUGCUUCGCGUUGAGCCGCCAUGUUGCGGUGCUCCGGUCUGACGUCACCUCUCCUCGACAGCGCUCCGCCAGGCUCGUAGUUGGCUCUCUCGGGCCCCGACUCAAUAGAAAUUGUAUCGAAUCCUCUCGGAUCCGGUUAAUGAAGUCAAAAACAAGCGAAACGUUUCGCACAGGAAAAUAAAUACAAAUACUUGAAAUAAAGUCAGUCCAACGCCACGCAAAAAGCUUCGUAACCCAUCAGGCACCUCGACGUAGCCGAAUUCGCAUACUUCGUGACGUGCAUCAAAAUGCCACGUCACAGUAUAUAAUGUAAGGCUGAAGAAGCACGUGAGGCUGCAAAGGUUACGACCAGGAACACUCCAAAUCCCAAGGACGCCCGUAGACUCCAAAAUCUGUGGUGAGGAACAGGUGGUAUCUAAAAUGGAAUAUGUAGACUUCCAACUUCCAGUAAAAAAUAGCACUGCAAUACAUUUUAGCUCCCGCGUACAGGUUUGCGUCUAACUGAACGCGAAACUCAAAACAAUUGCGAAUCGCAUGUUCGACGUAGAGCUGCAGCACGAAGCUAAGGCGUUCCGACAGUAUCGAAAAUCUGUCAAGAAGUUACCAAAUUUCAAACGCAGAUAUUUCCCUUAUUAUGUAUGCUCUCCGUACGAACUGUUUUUCAUCUUUAUUCUUCUUUUCCUGCUCUAUGACUUUUGCAUUUAACUUUUAUCGUUAUCAUUUCACUUGACAAAGAUAAUUUUUUUAUUUGCCUACGGGAAUCAAACGAACAAUAAUAAUACGCCUAAUCGAUGCAUAAUCAAAAAACAUUCAUAGGUUAUCACAUAAGAUUUUCGAAAUCGUGCAUCUUUUCACCGCAAAGCGCAAACAUGCGUCUCAGCUGAUACACUUUGCAUAGAACAUAUGGACAUUGUAAAAGGAUUGAAUAGGUACGAUAACGUAUACGAAUUUUUUCUGUAAAAAUUAAAUUUUCUUAUCAUAUGUAAACUUCUGAACGACAAUGUAAUUAUACAGAGACGUUAUACCGUUACCACGGAUAAAUAUGUUCCAAUAGUUGUGUCAUAAUUUUAGUCCCACUUAUUAAUAAAUACCACUAAAACUGUCACUAGGCACACUUAAUAAAAUGCGUUACAAGCAAAGCCAUCAGUUGUAAUUCAAAGUGUUCUUAAACUUGACAACAAUUACCAAUUGAAAAUAUAUGACGGAUAUUCAAAUCCUUUUUAAUCGAUAUUCUUACAGUGAGUAGCACCGUUCAUCCAUUAAGCUUAUACUUACGCGAAAAAGAAUAGACUUUUUAAUAAAGAUAAUUAAUAUCCUCGCUCCGAAGUAACCAUAAAAAAAUGAAGUAAAAUUGUAAAAAAAGCUAAUAGAAUGAAUCAAGUAAAAUAAAAAAUGUCAAAUUCAUCAAAAUAAAGAAUACCAAUAUAUAACACUAUGACUUUUAGUAGCGAUAUAACGGCGUAGUCAGUAUCGGUCGUUAGUAUUCAAAAGCCACAAUGCAGGAGCCGUCCACUUGCAUAUUUUGAGAAAAUCCACAGCAGAUUCAGCAACAUAUUCCGCAAGAAUAUUUAAAGGUUUCGGGCACGAAUAUUAGCAUAUUUAUUGAACGUCACUCAUAGCUCCGUCCCAGGACCUAAAAUACCAACUGCACGUCUUCGUUCCACCCUAAGGAUAACCAACGGAUCAACCACCAAGAAGACAUAAUUACUUCACCCCAAUUGGAUAGCAUCUUCCCACGUCGACCCAAAGUGAUCUGUUUCGGUUGACAGAUUCUAGACCACUUUCAUUUUCUACCCCCGUCAAAAGCGAACCCCAGCAAAGCAUACCCCAGGUAUGAUCCGACAAUCAAAUUAUUUUCCGUAAAAGCCAUCGAAACUUUUCCCUCCCGAUCCAAAAUUCCUUACCGCUAUCGCAAAUCGAAUAAACCCCCCAAAAAAUUUGUCUACUAAAAAAUAAUUAAUUUAUAGCAAACGUAAAAGCUGCUAUUAGUUCGGUAUGUUGUAUACACGUAUAUAUAUUUACUCCCGCAAUAUAGUAUAUGCCUACUACACUGCGGUCUUGUAUCCAAUACAGCAUACCCCUGGGGCGCAGAAAAC